GAAUCAAAGAAAGAAGAUGGAAACUAUUUUUCACUGGUGCCUAUAAUCAUUGUUCCAAUUUCUGAGGACCGAGGGUAAACUAAAAAUGUUGGAUAAUGGAGAUUCAUUAUCAUGACUUCAAGGAAAGAAAUUACUCUCCCAUAAAUUCUAGGUAAUUUGUCUUUUCCAAGCUAUCUAGCAAUGAAUUUCUGUUUGUUUACAGCUUACGUAGGGACACCUUUUUCACAAACGGCCGCGGCGACUUGCCGUCUUGUAUCUGUCUUCAUUUAUCUGAAACCUGUGUGGCUUCAGAAUGUUUAUUUCCUUUUUGACCCCAGAGCAGAUAGUAACAAAGGACACUUUUAAAGUGAAGGAGUGAAAAAUUGGGUUGAUGUCUCAGGAUCACAAAGAAUUACCUUUGCCUGAAAUACCCAGAGGCUCAGCAUUGGAAACCCAGAAGCCCUAUUGCCAGGAUUGUCUGGUGAGACUGGAGGCAUCCAGCCUUAAAGCAAGGAGAGACAUCUGAUGACAUUUCUCAUUACCGACAAAGAAAACAGAUGAACAUAUGACCUCAAACCCACGCCAGCUGACUUAAUGAGCAGAAGAUAAAUUGUUGUGUUCAUCGAUGGAAGAGAAGAGGAUUAACAAAAAGACGCAUGUAGCCAGGAAGUGAAUUCAAUGAUCACCUCUGUUCCAGGCGCUAAAAAGUGGGAUGAAGACAAAGACCAAAUGGAAGAGAAGUCAGAAAUUACUAUCAAUGAUAAUACGGUAACUAUAAACAGAUUCUUUCUGCUCUUUGCUUUCAUAUUCUCAAUUGCUCCUCUUUCUUGUAUUGGGGAAUUGGCUUCCCUGAUGACAACUACAGGUGUUGAUAGGUUGGAUGGAGCCAGAGAUCACGGUGACAAAGGAGAGGCCGUGGUUCAGGAACCAGGCAGGUCCUGGCAGGGGACUGGGGCAAGGCAAUGAGAAAAGUCGGCACGCCAAAUUUCAAGGGAGGGACUGAGACAUCAAAAAAUACAGUAGGUGGUAACUGUAGAUGGGAUACAAUGUGAGGACUGUGUCUGCAGGGCAACGCACUGGCUCAGUUACUAGAGCAGAGCAUGAGGCUGGGGAGACACUGAGUUCCUGGCUUGACUCCUUUUUUGUCGACCUGUUGAUGAUCUGGUCCCAGAGUUACUUAUGUGGCUUACUCUGCAAAUGGAACUCACCCUACUCAGCUAUGGAACGUAGCUCUGGGGGAAGCUCAUUAAAUAGGGCAGUCAUACCUCUCAGUGGUAUAAAAUCCAGGACUUUGCAGGGAAUUGGAAGACCAUCCUAGAUUUUCUGGCUACUAGUUGGGACCAGCUACCUUCUCUCUUUGAGCUGUAUUUCUCCCCCACACUGUGGUGCUAUUCUGAGGAUCCCCUUUUUCCUUUCUUUCCACUUUCAUUUUGGAUUAAAAUGAGAAUUAUGUUGGAAACAUCAUGAUGCUAAUUAUGAGAUCAUUAAUUAUAAAUUGAUAUCUGUGUCAAACAAAAGCUGACAACUGCUUGCCUUCUGUGAAGGGUUUUUAGAUGAUUUUAUACUCGGCUCACACUGGGCCCGUUAACUAGAUAAAUUGGAUUCAAUAUAAAAAGCAUUUUAUCCUCUCAAAACAGGAUGCAAAGCCACUACCUGCUCAAACCCAGGGACUCCGUUCUGAGCCUUGGAUAUGUUGGGGUGCUCUGAAGUUGUACCACGUACUGCCUGCUUGACUGUGGGUCGUAACUUUGUACACCUUCAUCAUGUUAUUGGUCAAAUUUAAUUUCCCAAAGGUCAGAAAGCUCAAAGUAUUUCAUGUUUGCAUACCUUACCCUUGAAAAGAGAAGAUGGCAGUCAAUUUCUUUUUCCAUUUUAUUCAGUUUAUCCUUUGGAAUUUCCCAACUGGUGAUAAAGAAAACUGCAUUUGUUAUAAGUGGAAGGAACUUAAUUGAGCGUAUUGGUUUUGUUCUAGAUGGCUAUUUGUAAGUAUGCAGAAACCAAAUGCCACUUGGGAAGUAAAAAUCACUUUUUCCAGUGCAGUAUUUUUAAUUAUGUCUUUUCACCUGAGCUCCAGGGCAAAAGUUCCAUUUUUCCUCCCUGCUCAUUAUUAGCAAAACCCACAAGGACCGGGUUUUCUAAUUUCAUAUUUUUAAGUGAAUUUAGCAUGCAAAGUAUUCUGAAAUGACAUUAGAUGUGUAGUUAAGAAAAGACCUAGGCUCUGGAAUUUCUUUGCUUCACACAAAUCUUUAUAUUCUACCUAGUCUGACUGCCCUCCGUUCACAUAGAAAUACUUAACCAUACAGCCUGCAUGUUACUCGAAGUGUGUUCAAUGGCUUGUUGUGAUUAUUGUUUUUUUUAACUGAAGUAGAGUCGAUUUACAAAGUUGUGUUGAUUUCUGCGGUACAGCAUGGUGAUUCAUAUAUAUAUAUAUUCCUUUUCAUAUU
Vicugna pacos (alpaca) is the source of this 2423-nucleotide non-coding RNA. The record is from RefSeq and is a predicted model, not a curated record. NCBI's taxonomy places the organism in Eukaryota, Metazoa, Chordata, Mammalia, Artiodactyla, Camelidae.